Molecule: long non-coding RNA, 1985 nt
Organism: Tyto alba (common barn owl)
Lineage: Eukaryota; Metazoa; Chordata; Aves; Strigiformes; Tytonidae
Exons: 5
Source: RefSeq, a predicted model, not a curated record
UCAAGGACAAGUUGUGGCCUUUGUGAUUAGCCUAAAGAAUGCUGCCCAAGGAAGCGCCGAGUGUAUCGGAAGGAUGCAUGGCUCCACUUCUUGCUGCUAUAGUGCCAAAUUCCUCAGGUAAGCCUCAAAGGAAACUGUAUGUUCAGGCCAAAAAGACUAAUAAGCUGAAGGCUAGACAAUUACUCAAGAAGAAAAAAAAUGAGGAAGAAGUAAAAGUGGUAGGGGGGGAACAUGAUCACCUCAGUAGUCUCCCAUGGAAAUGAGUUCAUGGAAUACCUGCCUGUCUUUGUCAAGUAUGCUUAUCAGCUGAUAAGAUGAACUUAAAAUGUGACAGCAAAUUUUGCUGUGUGUGUACCCACCACUCAAGAUAAGCAGACCUGAGACAGUGUUGGAACUUGGAGUGGUAAACCUGAUUGUCCGUCCUUUUUCUUUUCUUUCCUUUCUUUUAUUUCUUAUAGAUGUAUGAAUAAGAGACCACAUUGCUUACUAUCAUUUUCCAAGUUUAGGUCAUUUGGUGUCGUUUCACCUUCAUUUAACCUAUGAGGAUCACAGAACCUUUACGACUCCCUGAGCUCCCAGUCCAGGUCGUAACACCGUUUUCCACAGUCAGUCCCUCCCUAGCAAGGGCAGCCUGCUCUGCACUGUGGGAGAUGGUGUGGACGUACACACACACAGACAGUCUAUCCCUGGAAACCCCAAGAGAAUGGAAAAGGCAGCAUCCUUGCUGGAAGAGGCGACUUCAGCCUGUCUCCAUACCUCCACUAGAGACCAAGUGCUGCUGACGUGAAGAAAGCAGACAAGGGGAACCUUCUUCCUUGCUCCAUGCUGGGUAUCCCAUGGUAUUUCUUUAAGAGAAAAAGUGGAGGUACAGCCCUCAGGAAUGACAGAAAGUCAAGAGCCACUUCGUUGGUCAUGCCUUUGUUGAAUGGCCAGGUGAGGAUCACUCUGAAAGUGUCCUGAGGCUCUAAACUUCAAUGAUUCAGCUCUGAGGAAGAGAUCUUAAGGAGGAAUGCCUGUCCCACUGGAGUCAUCCCUGGAUUUUGCCAUUGGUCUCAGUGAAGCUGACAUUUUUACUGAUUGGGCUCCCGGGUGGCUGGAAGAGGUCUGGAGAGGCAAGUGGAGAGACUGGGAAUUUUAACACCUCCUGUGCUCAGAUAUUAUAUCUCAUUGUAAAGGCCUUGGGGGUCUCUUACAAGCAGCAAUGUCAUCCCUGACUGGAGCACAAAGCAAUUCUGUAGGUAACAAGAGAAGAUCACCUUUAAUGAUAUAGCCUUCAGGUCCCAGAAGGAUGUAGAAGUGUCAAGAUGGAACCUAACUUUAUUUCUGUAUAAACAACCUUCUUUCACUUCUCCAGGUCCAGAUCAAGAUGCUUUGAUAAUUAAAUGCUGAAACAGCAUCUAGGAGUAUGACUUGGCCUACUUUGAUCAUAUUCCCCCAACAACCCGAAAGUUUGUAGUAUUUUUCACAGUUGGUACAACACUCUACAGUUGAAAUGCGCAGAAAUCCUCAAGAACUAACUUUGUGGCAGUAACAUUUGACCAUUUGAAAUACGGGGUUGUUUUGGAACAGAAGAAUUUUUUUUUUUUUUUUUUUUUGGCUGGUGCUAGCAUGCAUUUUCUUGACCUCUCCAUAAAGACCUGGCCAUGCCAGGUUCUGAGGACUCUCUUGGGGAUACAGAACAUUUGUUGCUGUCCAUGGAAACCUUGCCCUUGUGCACUCUGUGUGACGCAAAAGCCAUAAGGAUAAUGUUUACACAAAGUCAUUUGUAGCACUACUGAUAACGCGAGUGAGUGCGGCUUUUUUACAUGGGUUGGUACGUAUUUUCUGAGAAGUUGGAGUGGCACAUCCCUGCCCAGCCCAUAUUGUGGAGAGGUAGUCUGUACAUGCCUUACUUUAGUCAAAACUUUUCCUUUCCUGGAAUUUUUCCAAGGUUUCCAUAUGUUAAAACAGUGUUUUCCGUUACUAAAUAAAUAAUAAUAAUAAAA